CUUCCUUCAGCUCUCUGGUUGGGUGACUUUUCUGCUGGGAAGGCUUCCCUGACCCUCUUCUUGCCUCCCAAGUUUAGGAAAUUUGUAACCUCCCACAUAUUCAUGCACAUCACCUACCAUCACAUUUAUCUCAUUUCACUAUAAUUGCAUGUUUGCUUAUUUUUAUACAGUUGCAGUGUCAACUCUGGAAAGGCAUAAUCUGUAACUACUUUGUUGAUCAUUGCAACUGCAUGUAGAAGCCACUCCUUAUAUAAGUAUUGAGUAAUUACAUUGCUCAGAAUUCUCCCUCCAACUCCUCUCACCCUUGCCAGCCCUGUUCUCAAAUAAAAUGCAGCAACAUCCUUUGUAAAAGCAAUUCUCAAAACUAAACUGGCCUUGUAUACAGUUAAGAGUCCUCUGUUAUUUAUUUUUUUUCCUUUUUAUACUACCUGGAUGUGUCUUAGCCUCUCCACCCUUUCCCCGCAUUGAGCAAGUUGACUGCUAUAAACAAGAUGUUUCUGUUUUAUAUUCCGGAAUGCACAACAACUGAAGCAAAGGCAAGGUGACUUUGCUGUAACUCAGCAGUCUUUUUAAAAUGUUAUUUUCCCCCCUUCGUAGGUCCUCAGAACACUGCCAUUAAGGGCUUCGAGGUGAAGAUACAUUAGAUUAAAAAUAUGGCAGACAGGGACCCUGAAGCACUUUAAGAAAGCUUGGUCUGCAGGAAAUCCUCAUCUUGGCUCCAAUCAUCAGAAAACUUGAUCUUUACCAGAGCGUCCUCCUCUAUUGCCCGG
Molecule: long non-coding RNA, 770 nt
Filed under: Homo sapiens (human)
Lineage: Eukaryota; Metazoa; Chordata; Mammalia; Primates; Hominidae
Description: HSALNT0097258
Source: RNAcentral